This is a long non-coding RNA of Bombus terrestris (buff-tailed bumblebee), 2201 nucleotides long. RefSeq lists it as uncharacterized. The transcript is spliced from 3 exons. The record is from RefSeq and is a predicted model, not a curated record. Lineage: Eukaryota; Metazoa; Arthropoda; Insecta; Hymenoptera; Apidae.
UUGAAUCAAUCGCGUUACCCACCUCGCUCCGCCGACCGAUCUUGAUUGUCUGCGGAUUAUACAGAGACGUCCCCCGACCGAGAGGGAAAAUUUAGUCAUCGAUUGAAAAGAGGAAGGAGGAAAGCAGAGGCCAAUAAUGUUCGGUUCGAUAAGUUCGUGCGUAAGAAUUCCUGUAUUUAACACGCGCUUGUUAUUCCAUUGGCUCGGUUUAUCGCGAGUAACAACCCUGUGCUAUGGUACAUGAGUGUUCCAACGAAUGUUUCGACGUUUCCAAUGAGUGUUUCGACGAAUGAAACGUCCGGAAAAUCGAAAAUCAUGCACACGUACAAGUUUAUACGCGUAAUCGAUGGUUUUGUCGUAUCGAGUUGGUCGCACCCACUGUAAUCAUGGCCUAACGAUACACAGCAGCAACGAUGGUAGAACAAAACCGCGAAACAAGCAUUACUGAUUCUACUAGGCGGAUCAUCGACGAAACCUUUGCCCGCAAGGUAUCAUAGCAUCGUUUCGAAUUACAGAGAGGGCUCGCGUUUCGCGACAGGUCACUGUGUAGGAAAGCAUUCUUAAUACGUGAGUGCGGGUUCGGGGACGGCGGCGCAGUCAGAGUCGCAGUGGACGAAGUAAUACAGAUAAAAGCAUAGAAUCAUAAAUAAUCCAUCGCGUAACGUUCCGUUACUUGGUACGGGAGUACCUUAGGAAGUGGCAGCGCGCGGUUCGAUCCAUCGCGGCGUUUCAUCCUGUUUCGCGAAAACUUGAAAAAUCGGAGUAUACCGCUGGCGCAAAUGGAAAACCCAGGAGGAGGACUCUAUUCCGGAAUACAGGAGAAGGAGGAGUAAGAGUAGAAGGUAGGAGACGAGGGUGGCGAGCAGGAGGCGAGGAUGAGAGGGUGGCGGUGAAACUCAGCGUAUUUACAUCGCGGCUUACCCGUGAUUAUUUUUGCUUCUGGGAGUUCGCUACCGUCUCGAGUAUAAGCUAGAGGCAGAUAAUAAAAGCCCGGUGGCAAGAGGCAGCAGGCCGAGAGUGGAGGAGGUGAAGGGUCUAAACGCUGAAGAGAAGAGACGUGGAGCGUCGACGGUAUGGCCGGCCUCAUAUUAAGUCGGUCCGCGGUGAACGAGGCGCUGCAGGGACGGCAGGAUGUGACGAGAGAGCGGAGUGGCGCUGCGGACGAGAGGAGCGAAAAGAGGAAAGGAGAGGAUCGUACAGACGGUUUGCCGGGGGUGCGAGGCCAGAGGCAACCAGGGGGUAGCACAGAAUGAGACGUGUAAUAAAUUGGACGUGUGAAGGAUAUAUGGAGGUCAACGUUAUUUUGUUCAACGCAAUCAUCAAGCAACACAAACGAUCUUUUUUUACAUUAUUAUUUUCCUAUUAAGAUACGAAGGUGGGCUUCCGUUUUUAACUAGGACUAUAUAACAUUUCGCAUUAUUUGAUAGUACUUCACAAAAUCGAUUCAUUAACCUUUCAUGGAUACUAUCGAUAUCGAUUAAUGUUUGAGAUAUCGAGCUUAUAGAUCUGCUAAUUUUUGCAGAGAAACACUGCUGAAGUUGCGGAGCAUGGCUGGUAGUGGUCUUGCUCGCGUCUGAAGUGUCACGUGUUAAACGUUGCCUCUUGAGAGAGAUAUCUAUUGAUAUUUAUUGUUGUUGUUGGUUCUCACCUAGGAAAAAGAACGGAAAGAUGAUUACAACAAUAAAUUGCUGACACAACCCCUUCGUAUCAGUUUCAAGGAGCAAUGUCUAACACGUGACAUAUGAGGCGGGAACAAGACCCCCAGCCGCGCUCCCUAUGCCAGCAGUGUAUUUUUUUCGUAAAAAAUUAGUCAAUUUGAAAAAUUUGUGCCUCGAUAGCUAAUCGAAAUCGAUGACAUACAUAAAAGGUUAAUGAAGACACCUUGGCAAGUGCUAUCGAAUCGUGCGAAGAAAAAUAUAUAAUCGUAACUAAAAAGCAAACUUUACCUUCGUACCUUGGGAAAAGAUAAUGUAAAAAAAGAAAAAGAGAUUAGUAUUCGUCGAAAAUAUGCCUUCCUUGUACCAUGCAAUGGUAUGAUGAAAAAUGUUAUACCGUGCAAGACAAAUUUUUCGUUUCUGCAAUACGUCAGGAGAUAAAGGACUGUCCAUUGUUAUCGGGGACGAUGUAUGUAUUACCAUAUGUAUUAAACAAGUAUUGUAUAUAUAUAUGUUGAAAUCAUUAAAUUUAAUAUAUGUAUUUAA